Molecule: long non-coding RNA, 629 nt
Organism: Physeter macrocephalus (sperm whale)
Lineage: Eukaryota; Metazoa; Chordata; Mammalia; Artiodactyla; Physeteridae
Exons: 3
Source: RefSeq, a predicted model, not a curated record
GCUGUUCAUCAAAUGCUGAAGGAAAGUUAAAAGUUGCAAGUUCUGAAGAUGUGCCGGGUGAGUUUGGCAGAGUCUUUAAAGUCCUGGGAUGAUUCACUGGGAGGCACUUGGCAAAGGCAAAACAUGAUUGUGACACCAUCAGAAUAAUCUCCAUUCCAGAGAUGUGCAGCCAAGAAGGAAAGAAGAAAUGAAGCAGGAGCUGGCAGCACACAGCAGCUGGGGGCUGAUUGGCUGGGCUGUAAUCUUUCUGGAUUAAAAGCCAAAAGUUUGAAAAUACAGGUUAUGGAGUGACUGUGGAGUUAGCUGUAGGUUUCUGUCCUGGUCCUAGCUUUUGUUCUGAGUGAUGGUUUUUCAGUCCUUAUUGCAUUAAAAAAUAAAACAAACAGCCUAAGGAAGUAACAGGAGACCUGACGUGGACCAACAACAACAGAGUGGCAUGAACAAAGGAUGGUGAUUAAUCCCUAAUCCAGUUCUGUGUACCUGAGGUCCAGGAAAUAGAACUCAGGAGUAUAUCACACUGGCUCAGUGUCUCCAGCGGCUACAGCAGGCCUCUGUUGAGGGGAGGGGAGUCGGGCUGCAACACUUCCUCCCGUUGGAUGUCGGACACCAUCAUGGCAUCCAGAGGGGAA